RNAcentral lists this ribosomal RNA (297 nucleotides) under uncultured bacterium. RNAcentral's name for it is "partial 16S ribosomal RNA". It matches the Rfam family "Bacterial small subunit ribosomal RNA", at positions 29 to 353 of the family's 1533-position model. The record is from RNAcentral.
AACGAACGCUGGCGGCAGGCCUAAUACAUGCAAGUCGAACGGGCGUAGCAAUACGUCAGUGGCGGACGGGUGAGUAACACGUGGGAACAUGCCUUUCGGUUCGGAAUAACGCAGGGAAACUUGCGCUAAUACCGGAUGACCCGGCGACGGAAAAGAUUUAUCGCCGAAAGAUUGGCCCGCGUAGGAUUAGCUAGUUGGUGAGGUAACGGCCCACCAAGGCGACGAUCCUUAGCUGGUUUGAGAGAACGAUCAGCCACACUGGGACUGAGACACGGCCCAGACUCCUACGGGAGGGCA